GAGGCAGGCUGGGUAAUCGCGGUAGCAAUAUCGAGGAAGGUCCGGACUCCGUAGGGCAGGAUAGCGGCUAACAGCCGUCCGAUAAGUGGGCUUCGGUCUGCGAGUCGAGGAAUAGGGCCACAGAGACGAGACUGCGACGAGGGCACAACAUGUUGUGCACAGUAACGGCUAUCUCCGUUACUUUGCUUUCUAGUAAGGCAGUCGUUGCAGGGUGAAACGCGGUAACCUCUAUCCGGAGCAACAUCAAAUAGGCAUACGUGAACCUUGUGUUCGAAGGGCGGCCCGCUCGAGUAUGCGGGUAGAUGGCUAGAGUGUGUCAGUAAUGGCAUGCCAAGAUGAAUGAUUGCCGACCAGCGUGCUGGUUUACAGAAUCCGGCCUAUAGGCCUGUCUCACAC
Molecule: RNase P RNA, 396 nt
Filed under: Alcaligenaceae bacterium 429
Lineage: Bacteria; Pseudomonadati; Pseudomonadota; Betaproteobacteria; Burkholderiales; Alcaligenaceae
Description: Bacterial RNase P class A
Rfam family: Bacterial RNase P class A
About the family: Ribonuclease P (RNase P) is a ubiquitous endoribonuclease, found in archaea, bacteria and eukarya as well as chloroplasts and mitochondria. Its best characterised activity is the generation of mature 5'-ends of tRNAs by cleaving the 5'-leader elements of precursor-tRNAs. Cellular RNase Ps are ribonucleoproteins.
Source: Rfam by way of RNAcentral